AUUGAACGCUAGCGGCGUGCCUAAUACAUGCAAGUCGAACGCAGUGGGGACGGGUGAGUAACACGUGGGUAACCUCCCAUCAGAGGGGAUAACACUUGGAAACAGGUGCUAAACCGAUACUGAUGGAUGGACCCGCGGUGCAUUAGCUAGUUGGUGAGGUAACGGCUCACCAAGGCCACGAUGCAUAGCCAACCUGUGAGGGUGAUCGGCCACACUGGGACUUAGACCAGGCCCAGACUCCUCCGGUAGGCAGCAGUAGGGAAUCUUCGGCAAUGGACGAAAGUCUGACCGAGCAACGCGGCGUGAGUGAAGAAGGUUUCCGGAUCGUAAAACUCUUUUGUUAGAGAAGCGGUAUCUAACCAGAAAGCCACGGCUAACUACGUGCCAGCAGCCGCGGUAAUAC
Molecule: ribosomal RNA, 403 nt
Filed under: uncultured bacterium
Lineage: Bacteria
Description: partial 16S ribosomal RNA
Rfam family: Bacterial small subunit ribosomal RNA
Source: RNAcentral